UGGGGAAUCUUGCGCAAUGGGCGGAAGCCUGACGCAGCAACGCCGCGUGGGGGAUGACGGCCUUCGGGUUGUAAACCUCUUUCGUCAUCGACACGGUAGGUCGAGAAGAAGCACCGGCCAACUACGUGCCAGCAGCCGCGGUAAUACGUAGGGUGCGAGCGUUGUCCGGAAUUAUUGGGCGUAAAGAGCUCGUAGGCGGUGUGUCGCGUCGGCCGUGAAAACCUGGGGCUCAACUCUGGGCGUGCGGUCGAUACGGGCACACUUGAGUUCGGCAGGGGAGACUGGAAUUCCUGGUGUAGCGGUGAAAUGCGCAGAUAUCAGGAGGAACACCGGUGGCGAAGGCGGGUCUCUGGGCCGAUACUGACGCUGAGGAGCGAAAGCAUGGGUAGCGAACAGGAUUAGAUACCCGAGUAGU
RNAcentral lists this ribosomal RNA (415 nucleotides) under uncultured bacterium. RNAcentral describes it as "bacterial SSU rRNA". It matches the Rfam family "Bacterial small subunit ribosomal RNA", at positions 355 to 794 of the family's 1533-position model. The record is from RNAcentral.